RNAcentral lists this long non-coding RNA (292 nucleotides) under Sorghum bicolor (sorghum). Its description in RNAcentral is "long non-coding RNA (SBIC_LNC011358)". Lineage: Eukaryota; Viridiplantae; Streptophyta; Magnoliopsida; Poales; Poaceae. The record is from RNAcentral.
AAAAGUAGACAAGAGGGCCACUUGGAUUAGGCCUCCUUAUAUAGGCUUAACUGAAAGAAUCAGUACUAUAAUUAGAAUUUAGAAGAAACAAUCCGACGAGGCGCUGCAACGUUGGGAGCCUUGUGUUAUCCAAACAAUCUGACAAGAGCUUAAAUACGGUCCAUGUCAGCUUCGAGAACUAAACCACUACGACUAACAUUCUGCUUCUGUUGUGUGCCCAGCGUUGCUCACCUGCUGUUUUCCUUGAUUUGCCUCCAGAUAAUCAACGUGCUAAGGUUUGAUGUUGUCUGCA